UACCAAGAUGGCUGCAAGUGCAUCGCUUUGUGCUGUGGUCUCACAAGCUAAGCAGCCUUGGGCUGGAUCAACACUUGGAUGGGAAACCUCUAAGGAAUAUGUGUC
Molecule: ribosomal RNA, 105 nt
Filed under: Sphenodon punctatus (tuatara)
Lineage: Eukaryota; Metazoa; Chordata; Lepidosauria; Sphenodontia; Sphenodontidae
Source: RNAcentral